Molecule: ribosomal RNA, 492 nt
Filed under: uncultured bacterium
Lineage: Bacteria
Description: partial 16S ribosomal RNA
Rfam family: Bacterial small subunit ribosomal RNA
Source: RNAcentral
AUUGAACGCUGGCGGCAUGCUUUACACAUGCAAGUCGAACGGUAACAGGCCUUCGGGUGCUGACGAGUGGCGAACGGGUGAGUAAUGCAUCGGAACGUACCCAGAGGUGGGGGAUAACGCAGCGAAAGCUGUGCUAAUACCGCAUGUGAUCUGAGGAUGAAAGCGGGGGACCGGGCAGCAAUGUUUGGCCUCGCGCCUUUGGAGCGGCCGAUGUCGGAUUAGCUAGUUGGUGGGGUAAAGGCCUACCAAGGCGACGAUCCGUAGCUGGUCUGAGAGGACGACCAGCCACACUGGGACUGAGACACGGCCCAGACUCCUACGGGAGGCAGCAGUGGGGAAGUUUGGACAAUGGGCGCAAGCCUGAUCCAGCAAUGCCGCGUGCGGGAAGAAGGCCUUCGGGUUGUAAACCGCUUUUGGCAGGAACGAAACGGUGUCCGCUAAUACCGGGCGCUAAUGACGGUACCUGCAGAAUAAGCACCGGCUAACUACGUG